This 118-nucleotide non-coding RNA is filed under the name Bemisia tabaci. RNAcentral's name for it is "U4atac minor spliceosomal RNA". It matches the Rfam family "U4atac minor spliceosomal RNA". From Rfam's summary of the family: U4atac is an essential component of the minor U12-type spliceosome complex which is required for removal of the rarer class of eukaryotic introns (AT-AC, U12-type). These interacting stem loops have been shown to be required for in vivo splicing. U4atac also contains an 3' Sm protein binding site which has been shown to be essential for splicing activity. Lineage: Eukaryota; Metazoa; Arthropoda; Insecta; Hemiptera; Aleyrodidae. The record is from RNAcentral.
CGCAUCCUUGUCUGGGAGAGCAUUAUACUCAAUGAUCGUCUAGUGAGAGUAUAGUUGCUGAAACCAAGAUUAUCAGUACCGCAUCACCCUCUUCCGGGUAGGUGCAAUUUUUGGAAGC